Molecule: long non-coding RNA, 2098 nt
Organism: Mirounga angustirostris (Northern elephant seal)
Lineage: Eukaryota; Metazoa; Chordata; Mammalia; Carnivora; Phocidae
Exons: 3
Source: RefSeq, a predicted model, not a curated record
UAUCGCCUGUGGCUCCUUUCCUGCUACAAUGGCGGAGUUGAGUGGGUGCCAAGGGACCUUAUAACCAUUUGCAAGGGCCAAACAUAUUUACCAUCAGGUCCUUUACAGAAAACAUUUGCCGAGCCGGCUUUGGAGCAAAACCUCAGGACAACUUUCAGUAUCGUGUGACAAAAAAUCAUUUUAGAAGGAUUUUUGCUCAAGGUAGUGACAGAAUCCCCCUUAAGGGAUUCUGACAGAGACAAGAUAUUCAGAGUACACAAACAUUAAGGCACUAUGAAGGGAAAUGAGCCUUCAGAGCCGUCCUGUUCCCCCACCUGGAGCAGCAAAGGAAGUGCUCAGGAAGAAGGAAAGCCUAGGCCCGUUUCUGUGGAGAAAGCCUGGGGCUGCUCUUAGGAAGAAGCCAUCACGAAAGGAACAGGCUCUGAGGCAGAGAAGAGCCAGGGAGCUUCAGGCGCAGCUUUAGAGGAUGAGAAUGAACAUGGUGGCCUCCCAAUCUCCCGCCCUGGAGCUGAAGGCUUGGGGCCUCACUCCUCAGUGUGACCUCAGAGAAAAGCAGUCAAGCACUCCUGUCUCCCUGGUCUCCAUCUGCACUCCGUGCUCACCCGGCCUGUGACCCAGCAUUUGUAUCUCAGAUCCAAGAAGUUAAACAAUUUCCUGGAGUCAUUCCGCUCCCGAGCAGCAGAGCUAGGCUUGGGGCCUGGAUCUGUGUGAGUGGAGAGAACAUGUUUGUAUUUCCAGUAUGCUGGCAUGCAGGCGGAGGUAGGCCACGGGCUCUAGCUGAUCCUUUUCCAGAACAAUGAAGACAGCACCUGCUAGUGAGCGGGCCCCGAACAGCAGGGGCGCUCAGGAGGCCUCGCCGCUGGGUUAUGGCUGAGGGGCGCCAGAGGCAGCUGCUGCGCAUGCUCUCGGCCCUCCUCUGCGCGCGCGCCGAAGGCUGUUUCCCGUGAACCCUGUGUUUCCCGGCCCCCGCGCUGUUUUCCUGGUGGCAUGAGGAUGUUUGCUGUGCAGACAAGGCCAAGUGUUGGAAAGGCAGCGUUCUGGAAGCAGCAGGCAGCCAGAUGACAAACGGGUGUACAGGCACGGUAGCUCCCUUGCCAUCCUGGAGAGGCGAACUUGCCAGAACGUCCCCUUCCGGGUGGAGCCCCCGCUGCCCACGGCGGUGGCCGAGGCCACGGCCAGCCUUCAUUUGUCUCCCUCCCCCUCCCAGCGGUUCAAGUCCUCCUCCCCUCCGGCGAGCUCUCCUGGGACCACCUCCCGGGAUUGCCCUCACACCCUUGCCUCCAGAAAACCCACAGUCUGACACCGGGAAAGGCACCGACCGUGAGGAGGGAACUCAGGAGAAUCAGACCCGUUGUUUUGUAUCGAAUGGAAAACAGUACAUCACUCAUUCUAGUUCGUGUGCGGGUUUGAUUUCUUAUCCACAGACCAGGGUGCUCCUGGAUUCCUGCAGGUCAUUUUGAGCGGGUGAGCCCAAGAGGCCUGCAUCGUCCAUCCGCACGCACGAGCACCAGGGAACUGCGCUUGAGCUUUUCUCCGGACCACACAGGGCCUGGCCACUGUGAACUGCACGGAGAGCCUCGGUCUGUGACGACGUGUGGGCCCAAGGGCCGCGGGCCGUGGGGGGGGGCGAGGGGGGGCGCACAGAGAAGAGGGGAUGUGCUCGCGCAAGGCCGCGGAGCUUUCCUGCGCACAGAUCGCCCCUCUCCCUCCCUCCUUCCCGACCUCCAAAGCCAGAGGCCGCUCUUCUGCCCACAGCCUUCCUCCCCUUCGGGCUGCUCCCAGACCCAUCAGCGCUGCUUCAGGCCCCGCCGGAAGCCUUGCCGCCUCCUACAGAUUUGGAAAGGGAUUCUUUCUGCUCUUCUGCAACCUCUCACCAAAUAUGCCUGGGAAUUGCGUACUCGAAGAACCGAGGAACCCAGAAAAAGACAAAUGCCCAGCACUCUUGCUCGACUUGCACGGGCCGCAGUCAGGCGUCAGGACCUGCGCGUGCGCACACGUGCAAGCGAAGAGCCACGAGGAGACGAGCGUGAGCAAGGUAAGGGGGAGGGUGGGGGCGGCUGCCAAUCAAGGCCAUUGUUUUCACGUGGAUGGUGGAGAG